Long non-coding RNA from Thalassophryne amazonica, 276 nucleotides. RefSeq lists it as uncharacterized. NCBI's taxonomy places the organism in Eukaryota, Metazoa, Chordata, Actinopteri, Batrachoidiformes, Batrachoididae. The record is from RefSeq and is a predicted model, not a curated record. The transcript is spliced from 3 exons.
UGGCCUUUCUGUGUGGAGUUUGCAUGUUCUCCCCAUGUUUGCGUGGUUUUCCUCAGGGCACUCCGGUUUCCUCCCACAAUCAAAACAUGCUUAUUUAGGGCCUGCUCCUUUCUCUGCCCCCUGACCAAGGCAAAGUCUCUACAUGUGGAGUUGGUCCCACGGCGCCAGCCUGUGGCUGCCCACUGCUCCUACUGGCUGGCUUGUGUCUAACUGUAAUUAGGAUGGGUUAAAUGCAGAGGACAAAUUUUGUUGUAUGAAUGUAUCAUGAAAAUAAAG